AAUAAAGACGACGAGAAACGUAGUAGCAUAGAAAGUGUUGUAUGUAAUAUCGUUAAUAAAAACGUUAAAGUUGUUGGUGUACCAUCAGAUCAAUGGCAAAGAGUUCGAACGGAGUAUUUACAAAAUCGUAAAAACGAAGGCGAUGAUAUGCCAAAGCAACAAGCGCAACAAACAGAUAUUGCUCAAAAAGCAAAAGAUCUUUUCGGUGAAGAAACUGUACAUGUGAUAGAUGAAGAGUGAUACAUGACAAGCGAUAUAAUCGUAUGUAUAAUGAAAGAAACAUCAUUUUAUUGAUAAAUAUUUAUUGAUUUUCAAGGAGGAAAUGGAAUAUGCGCGGUGGCGGAAACAUGCAACAAAUGAUGAAACAAAUGCAAAAAAUGCAAAAGAAAAUGGCUCAAGAACAAGAAAAACUUAAAGAAGAGCGUAUUGUAGGAACAGCUGGCGGUGGCAUGGUUGCAGUUACUGUAACUGGUCAUAAAGAAGUUGUCGACGUUGAAAUCAAAGAAGAAGCUGUAGACCCAGAUGAUAUUGAAAUGCUACAAGACUUAGUGUUAGCAGCUACUAAUGAAGCGAUGAAUAAAGCUGAUGAGCUUACUCAAGAACGUUUAGGUAAACAUACUCAAGGCUUAAACAUCCCUGGAAUGUGAUCAUAGAUGCAUUAUCCAGAACCUAUAUCAAAACUUAUUGAUAGCUUUAUGAAAUUGCCAGGCAUUGGUCCAAAGACAGCCCAACGUCUGGCUUUUCAUACCUUAGAUAUGAAAGAAGACGAUGUUGUUCAGUUUGCCAAAGCAUUAGUAGAUGUUAAAAGAGAAUUAACAUAUUGUAGCGUAUGUGGUCACAUUACUGAAAAUGAUCCAUGUUAUAUUUGUGAAGAUAAGCAAAGAGAUCGUUCAGUUAUUUGUGUUGUGGAAGAUGACAAAGAUGUCAUAGCUAUGGAAAAAAUGAGAGAAUACAAAGGUUUAUAUCACGUUUUACAUGGGUCUAUUUCGCCUAUGGAUGGCAUUGGACCAGAAGAUAUUAAUAUUCCUUCAUUGAUUGAACGCUUAAAAAGCGAUGAAGUUAGCGAAUUAAUCUUAGCUAUGAACCCGAACUUAGAGGGGGAAUCUACAGCCAUGUAUAUUUCUAGAUUAGUUAAGCCUAUAGGUAUCAAAGUGACGAGAUUAGCACAAGGGUUAUCGGUAGGUGGCGAUUUAGAGUAUGCUGACGAAGUAACUUUAUCUAAAGCAAUCGCAGGUAGAACAGAAAUGUAAUGUCUUCUAUUAAACAUUUUUGAAUUUAAUACUAUAGUAAGAAAAGUCACAGUGUAAUCAUUGUGGCUUUUUUUAUGGUGUGGUGUGAUGUACUACUUUAUUUGCGGUGUGGCGGUGGUAUGGUUUACCUAGUUUUACUGAGGGAUGGGUAAUCUUUAGGAAGCAAGCCGUUGGUUGUGAUUUGUUACUUCUAAUAGUAAUGAUGUGAAUUGGAUUAUCGAAUUAGAUCUACGGUUAUGGUGUGUUGGUGCUAUUAAUUUGAUAAAUGCGGUUGAUGGUUAAUGACUAUGCAAAUGAAAUUCUUUUGUAAUUGAAAUGAUAGAUGCUGGCUUAGUAGUUGUACUUCUUUGGUCUAAAGUUUAUUAAAUCAGCCUGUAUAGCGGUGUUUUGAGAGGUUAUUUAAAACUUGUAAAUUUAUUUUUAAUUUCUGGUAAANCUCGUUAAGGAACUCGGCAAAAUGACCCCGUAACUUCGGGAGAAGGGGUGCUCUUUAGGGUUAACGCCCAGAAGAGCCGCAGUGAAUAGGCCCAAGCGACUGUUUAUCAAAAACACAGGUCUCUGCUAAACCGUAAGGUGAUGUAUAGGGGCUGACGCCUGCCCGGUGCUGGAAGGUUAAGAGGAGUGGUUAGCUUCUGCGAAGCUACGAAUCGAAGCCCCAGUAAACGGCGGCCGUAACUAUAACGGUCCUAAGGUAGCGAAAUUCCUUGUCGGGUAAGUUCCGACCCGCACGAAAGGCGUAACGAUUUGGGCACUGUCUCAACGAGAGACUCGGUGAAAUCAUAGUACCUGUGAAGAUGCAGGUUACCCGCGACAGGACGGAAAGACCCCGUGGAGCUUUACUGUAGCCUGAUAUUGAAAUUCGGCACAGCUUGUACAGGAUAGGUAGGAGCCUUUGAAACGUGAGCGCUAGCUUACGUGGAGGCGCUGGUGGGAUACUACCCUAGCUGUGUUGGCUUUCUAACCCGCACCACUUAUCGUGGUGGGAGACAGUGUCAGGCGGGCAGUUUGACUGGGGCGGUCGCCUCCUAAAAGGUAACGGAGGCGCUCAAAGGUUCCCUCAGAAUGGUUGGAAAUCAUUCAUAGAGUGUAAAGGCAUAAGGGAGCUUGACUGCGAGACCUACAAGUCGAGCAGGGUCGAAAGACGGACUUAGUGAUCCGGUGGUUCCGCAUGGAAGGGCCAUCGCUCAACGGAUAAAAGCUACCCCGGGGAUAACAGGCUUAUCUCCCCCAAGAGUUCACAUCGACGGGGAGGUUUGGCACCUCGAUGUCGGCUCAUCGCAUCCUGGGGCUGUAGUCGGUCCCAAGGGUUGGGCUGUUCGCCCAUUAAAGCGGUACGCGAGCUGGGUUCAGAACGUCGUGAGACAGUUCGGUCCCUAUCCGUCGUGGGCGUAGGAAAUUUGAGAGGAGCUGUCCUUAGUACGAGAGGACCGGGAUGGACAUACCUCUGGUGUACCAGUUGUCGUGCCAACGGCAUAGCUGGGUAGCUAUGUGUGGACGGGAUAAGUGCUGAAAGCAUCUAAGCAUGAAGCCCCCCUCAAGAUGAGAUUUCCCAACUUCGGUUAUAAGAUCCCUCAAAGAUGAUGAGGUUAAUAGGUUCGAGGUGGAAGCAUGGUGACAUGUGGAGCUGACGAAUACUAAUCGAUCGAAGACUUAAUC
This 2906-nucleotide ribosomal RNA is filed under the name Staphylococcus aureus. RNAcentral's name for it is "bacterial LSU rRNA". The stretch from base 1502 to 2906 matches the Rfam family "Bacterial large subunit ribosomal RNA". The record is from RNAcentral. Lineage: Bacteria; Bacillati; Bacillota; Bacilli; Caryophanales; Staphylococcaceae.